Molecule: ribosomal RNA, 444 nt
Filed under: Amblydromalus limonicus
Lineage: Eukaryota; Metazoa; Arthropoda; Arachnida; Mesostigmata; Phytoseiidae
Description: partial 16S ribosomal RNA
Rfam family: Bacterial large subunit ribosomal RNA (bases 160-444)
Source: RNAcentral
UCAAUGAUUAUUUAAAUUGCUGAAGUAUUUUGACUUCACAAAGGUAUUGAAAUAAGAUUUUAAUUGAAUGCUAAGAGAAUGGAUAAAUAGUAAAUAAUUAUAUAAAUAAUUAAAAUUAAAAUUUCAUUUAAAAAUGAAAAAGUUAUUUAUAAAAAUAUGGGACAAGAAGACCCUAUGAAUUUUAUAUAUUUAUUUAUAUAUAACUAUACAAAUAGAUAAUUUAAUUGGGGCGAUUAAAAAAUAUUAAAUAACUUUAUUUUAAUGAUGAAAUUCAGGUUAAUUUAAAAAUACUCUAGGGAUAACAGCGUUAUUACUGUGGAUAGUUCAUAUUAAUACUGUAGUUUGCGACCUCGAUGUUGAAUUAAUAAACCUAAUAAUUGGAGCAGAUUAUUAAGGAAGAUUGUUCAUCUUUUAAAUUAUUACGUGAUCUGAGUUCAGACCGGA